Molecule: small RNA, 747 nt
Filed under: Pongo abelii (Sumatran orangutan)
Lineage: Eukaryota; Metazoa; Chordata; Mammalia; Primates; Hominidae
Description: processed transcript
Source: RNAcentral
CCUCCGAGAGGCUCGGCGUUGAGCCCGGGUAGGGCCAGGUGGCUGCCCUUUCACCUAGGGUAGACCCUGGCCGCCUCCGCUCUUCGCCCGAAAGGGAAUGCAGCUCUGGGAAACAAGUGAAUUCGUGGUAUUUUACUUUUUUGGGAAAUAUUGGAAAUGAAGAACUGCAACUGUAAUUUCAAAUAAGGAAAACUUUAAUUUUCAGUAUAAAAAUUGCUCAAAUAGAAUUGCCUAAUUUUAAUGACAAAAGAUAUUGGAAGGCUCCCUCUGAAGCGACACUUUGGAAGAUUGAAAAUGGAAGCCCUGACUGACAGGGAACAUGGAAUGAUAGACCCUGACAGCGGAGAUGAAGCCCAGCUUAAUGGAGGACAUUCUGCAGAGGAAUCUCUGGGUGAACCCACUCAAGCCACUGCGCUGGAAACCUGGUCUCUUCCUUUGAGUCAGAAUAGUGCCAGUGAACUGCCUGCUAGCCAGCCCCAGCCCUUUUCAGCCCAAGGAGACAUGGAAGAAAACAUAAUAAUAGAAGACUAUGAGAGUGAUGGGACAUAGAAGCCAGCCUGCUAUUCAGAUUGCUACUUCACAGCUUCAUUUUUGUUUCAUUCAGUGGUACUUCAGCAGAGUUAAUAUGCUUUUCUGAUGAAUUACACAACAGUUUGUUAAUUCUUCCUUCUUGUAGUAUUUCAUCACAAGAAACCUCUUCUGUCAUCUUGAAGUAAAUAGAAGAUCAAGCCUUCAAAUCUCUUAAUU